UUUGCUGACGAGUGGCGGACGGGUGAGUAAUGUCUGGGAAACUGCCUGAUGGAGGGGGAUAACUACUGGAAACGGUAGCUAAUACCGCAUAACGUCGCAAGACCAAAGAGGGGGACCUUCGGGCCUCUUGCCAUCGGAUGUGCCCAGAUGGGAUUAGCUAGUAGGUGGGGUAACGGCUCACCUAGGCGACGAUCCCUAGCUGGUCUGAGAGGAUGACCAGCCACACUGGAACUGAGACACGGUCCAGACUCCUACGGGAGGCAGCAGUGGGGAAUAUUGCACAAUGGGCGCAAGCCUGAUGCAGCCAUGCCGCGUGUAUGAAGAAGGCCUUCGGGUUGUAAAGUACUUUCAGCGGGGAGGAAGGGAGUAAAGUUAAUACCUUUGCUCAUUGACGUUACCCGCAGAAGAAGCACCGGCUAACUCCGUGCCAGCAGCCGCGGUAAUACGGAGGGUGCAAGC
Molecule: ribosomal RNA, 459 nt
Filed under: uncultured Escherichia sp.
Lineage: Bacteria; Pseudomonadati; Pseudomonadota; Gammaproteobacteria; Enterobacterales; Enterobacteriaceae
Description: bacterial SSU rRNA
Rfam family: Bacterial small subunit ribosomal RNA
Source: RNAcentral